RNAcentral lists this ribosomal RNA (253 nucleotides) under uncultured prokaryote. RNAcentral describes it as "partial 16S ribosomal RNA". It matches the Rfam family "Bacterial small subunit ribosomal RNA", at positions 525 to 777 of the family's 1533-position model. The record is from RNAcentral.
ACGGAGGGGGCUAGCGUUGUUCGGAAUUACUGGGCGUAAAGCGCACGUAGGCGGCUUUGUAAGUUAGAGGUGAAAGCCCGGGGCUCAACUCCGGAAUUGCCUUUAAGACUGCAUCGCUAGAAUUGUGGAGAGGUAAGUGGAAUUCCGAGUGUAGAGGUGAAAUUCGUAGAUAUUCGCAAGAACACCGGUGGCGAAGGCGGCCAACUGGUCCGAAACUGACGCUGAGGCGCGAAAGCGUGGGGAGCAAACAGGA